Molecule: long non-coding RNA, 286 nt
Filed under: Malus domestica (apple)
Lineage: Eukaryota; Viridiplantae; Streptophyta; Magnoliopsida; Rosales; Rosaceae
Description: long non-coding RNA (MDOM_LNC002634)
Source: RNAcentral
UUAGGUGUUCAGGCGUGCCACUGCCAUCUUUAGUAUAACAGAUAUAAAACAGAUGUUUAGUUUUAAUUGUAUAUGCCCGAGAAACCGAGUUAGCUAUGAAAUGUUUCUUUGUUGGGCCUUAGGUAUAGGUCUUGAGGCUUUCCAUCAAAACUAACCAAGUACUCGAACAUAUAAUGGUUGUUUCAUUGUUGCAGAAGUAUUACAACUGCUAUCCUUUAAUCGCCCGAGCCCGAAGAGUAGAACGAACCCAGAUAGGUGCCUUUGUAGGGUCUUAAGUAUAGGUCUU